This 477-nucleotide ribosomal RNA is filed under the name uncultured bacterium. Its description in RNAcentral is "partial 16S ribosomal RNA". It matches the Rfam family "Bacterial small subunit ribosomal RNA", at positions 28 to 507 of the family's 1533-position model. The record is from RNAcentral.
GAUGAACGCUGGCGGCGUGCCUAAUACAUGCAAGUCGAGCGAACAGACGCGGAGCUUGCGCCUCUUGCGGAAGCGGCGGGCGGGACAGUGACAAGCGGAUAACGGACCUGUGAGACUGCGAUAACUUCGGGAAAACGGCGCGAAGACCAGCGCAUAUCUUGAAGCUCGUGGUGCAAUGGUGAAAGAGGGGUUUGCGGGCCGCUGGCGAUGGAUCCGGGGCGCAUGAUCUAGUUGGACAGGUAACGGCAGACGAAGGCGACGAUGGGUAGCCGACCUGAGAGGGUGACCGGCCACACUGGGACUGCGACACGGACCAGACUCCUACGGGAGGCAGCAGUGGGGAAUAUGGCGCAAUGGGCCGAAGCCUGACGCAGCGACGCCGCGUGGGGGAAGGCGGCCUUCGGGUUGUAAACCAAUUUGUGCAGGGCCGAAGCGGAAGUGACGGUACCUGCAGAAGAAGCAACGGCCAACUACGUG